This 241-nucleotide ribosomal RNA is filed under the name uncultured Bacillus sp. RNAcentral describes it as "partial 16S ribosomal RNA". It matches the Rfam family "Bacterial small subunit ribosomal RNA", at positions 836 to 1074 of the family's 1533-position model. Lineage: Bacteria; Bacillati; Bacillota; Bacilli; Caryophanales; Bacillaceae. The record is from RNAcentral.
CCCUUUAGUGCUGCAGCUAACGCAUUAAGCACUCCGCCUGGGGAAUACGGUCGCAAGACUGAAACUCAAAGGAAUUGACGGGGGCCCGCACAAGCGGUGGAGCAUGUGGUUUAAUUCGAAGCAACGCGAAGAACCUUACCAGGUCUUGACAUCCUCUGACACUCCUAGAGAUAGGACGUUCCCCUUCGGGGGACAGAGUGACAGGUGGUGCAUGGUUGUCGUCAGCUGCAGCACUAAAGGG